This 448-nucleotide ribosomal RNA is filed under the name uncultured bacterium. RNAcentral describes it as "bacterial SSU rRNA". It matches the Rfam family "Bacterial small subunit ribosomal RNA", at positions 355 to 825 of the family's 1533-position model. The record is from RNAcentral.
UCGGGAAUUUUGGGCAAUGGGCGAAAGCCUGACCCAGCAACGCCGCGUGAAGGAUGAAGUAUUUCGGUAUGUAAACUUCGAAAGAAUAGGAAGAAUAAAUGACGGUACUAUUUAUAAGGUCCGGCUAACUACGUGCCAGCAGCCGCGGUAAUACGUAGGGACCAAGCGUUGUUCGGAUUUACUGGGCGUAAAGGGCGCGUAGGCGGCAAUUCAAGUCAUCUGUGAAAUCUCCGGGCUUAACUCGGAACGGUCAGAUGAUACUGCUGUGCUAGAGUACAGAAAGGGCAAUCGGAAUUCUUGGUGUAGCGGUGAAAUGCGUAGAUAUCAAGAGGAACACCUGAGGCGAAGGCGGGUUGCUAGGCUGAUACUGACGCUGAGGCGCGAAAGCUAGGGUAGCAAACGGGAUUAGAUACCCCCGUAGUCCCCUGAGCGGGCUGGCAAGGCGCAU